AUUGAACGCUGGCGGCAGGCCUAACACAUGCAAGUCGAGCGAGCGGCGGACGGGUGCGUAAUUUAUGGGGACUGCCUGAUAGAGGGGGAUAACUACUGGAAACGGUGGCUAAUACCGCAUCCUGUCGGAUACCCCAUAUGGGAUUAGCUAGUAGGUAAGGUAAUGGCUCACCUAGGCGACGAUCCCUAGCUGGUCUGAGAGGAUGAUCAGCCACACGGGGACUGAGACACGGCCCAGACUCCUACGGAGGCAGCAGUGGGGAAUAUUGCACAAUGGGCGGAAGCCUGAUGCAGCCAUGCCGCGUGUAGGAAGAAGGCCCUAGGGUUGUAAAGUACUUUCAGUCGGGAGGCGUUACCGACAGAAGAAGCACCGGCUAACUCCGUGCCAGCAGCCGCGGUAAUAC
This 403-nucleotide ribosomal RNA is filed under the name uncultured bacterium. RNAcentral describes it as "partial 16S ribosomal RNA". It matches the Rfam family "Bacterial small subunit ribosomal RNA", at positions 30 to 526 of the family's 1533-position model. The record is from RNAcentral.